AAAAAGGGCCUGAUCACAAGCGUUUGCAUCUUAGAUCCUAGACAGCUUACUUAACAGCUCAGAGCCUCAGUUUCCUCAUCUCUAAGAUACAUAUGUGCUCAUGAUAAAAUACUAAGCAGGGUAAUUACACUAAGCGCUUUGCACACAUUAGAGCAUGUAAUCCACCCAACAUCGUGGGAGGGCUCAGUGUUUGUUUUCGCUAUUACUACACAUCACCUCCUCAUGCAGAAGCCCAGAGGGUGAAGUGGAUUCAAGAAGGGUUAUUCUGGUUGAAAAGAGCAGGGACACCACUUCUUUCUGUCUUAUCUUCUGUUGCCCCUUCCCCCAAGGCAACCUUAAGAACCCCUCUUUAGGACUCUAGUGCUCCUUGAAGUAUAGUUUGAAACUAUGCUUCUCAGCAUAUCCUCACUCACUGCACAGAUGAGAAAACUGAGACCCAGAGAGGGUAGGAUACUGGUUCAAGGUCACACACUCAGGGGCAGAGAUGGUUCUAUAACCCUGGAUUCCUGGCUCCCAACCGGGUUGUUGCUAAGGCAACUGGGAUCCCCAGGUCUUCCUGCUGCCUCAGAGGAGGUUGUGUGGGUGCCAGAACUCCCAGCUUGGAUAUGCUCCUUAGUCUUCCCAAAUCCAUUUGGAGGGGUUCAGGCUGUUCCUGCUUCCCCAACCCCUAAGGCAGAGAACUACCUGCUCCAUCAGAGCUCCUCAACUCUGCAGCCACAGAUGAUUCCUAAAUGAGUGAGCAUGGCUGUAUUCCAAGAAAUCUAGAUAUCCAGAGUUUCAAGAGAAGUCUGGAUUGUUCUGAAAGGAAAUAUGGAAGAACAAACAAACAAACAACAUAGACUGGGUCAAACAGGACCUGAGAAGGGGAGACUGGCUUAUGGACCAGCGGCUUGCCAUUCUGGGCUUUGGAGUGAGAGGGAAAACUUCUGAACCUGGGCGCAUGCUCCAAGGAUAGAUGGACACUAGGAAGAGGGGACUGAUGCCCACUGGAUAAACAAGGCCUAUAUUCCCAAAUAGUCCAUUUGCCUGAAAUACUUUGAGGAAAUCAUUGUUAAAGUCUAAGCAUAUUUGGUUAGAUUGCAGAACUUAAAUCUUCUCCUUUUUUUUUAAUUAAAAUUUUUUCUUAAAUUGGCAUUACAUAUAAUAAAGUUCACUGAUCUUAUUAAGUACAGUUCAGUGGAUUAAUUUUGUUGGUUCCUAAACUCAUGUAUAUGGAGUCAUACAGAAAAUGCUACUUGGGGUCUGGCUCGCUUCCCUCGACCUUGUCUGAGAUCAUUCAUGUCACUACGGGUAGCAG
Long non-coding RNA from Bos taurus (domestic cattle), 1297 nucleotides. The record is from Ensembl. NCBI's taxonomy places the organism in Eukaryota, Metazoa, Chordata, Mammalia, Artiodactyla, Bovidae.